Long non-coding RNA from Vicia villosa (hairy vetch), 803 nucleotides. RefSeq lists it as uncharacterized. The transcript is spliced from 3 exons. The record is from RefSeq and is a predicted model, not a curated record. NCBI's taxonomy places the organism in Eukaryota, Viridiplantae, Streptophyta, Magnoliopsida, Fabales, Fabaceae.
UAGCCUGGUUUGAGCGUCGCUACAUCCAUAUAUGCAAAAUGUGAGUUCCUCUGUUGAAAUCGAUUUCUCAUGUUUUUCCUUAUUAUUUCUGAAUGUUGAACUAUUGAACAACUGAUUUGUGUAUCUUACAACAUGAGUUUCCUUUUGUUUUUUAUUAACUGUUGUUCAUUUUCUUUGAUAACUGUGUUUCUUUUUGCUACUUUUUCAUUUUAUGUACUCUAUGUUCAAAGCCUGGCAUCACAGUCGAGUAGCUCUAAAGGUCCUAAUUGGCAUCACAGUCCAAAUCAAGUGAUUAUGGAAUCCCUUGCUUUCGGCAAUGAACGUUGGAUCCUUUGCUUUGAUUGUGUUAGUGACAAACUAUGCAGUGCAUGGUUCAGUUCGUGUUCAAGUUCUUGGAUGGAUUUGUGUUUCUCUAUCUGUUAGUGUCUUUGCAGCACCACUAAGCAUUGUGGCACAAGUUGUUAGGACAAAGAGUGUUGAGUUUAGGGUCUGGAUGAAUUUUUCUUCUCACUUCAGCCAAACCAGGUAGAAGUAUAGGGCCAGUUCACUAUGACAAUGGGAGAAGCACAAAAGAUAAUUAUGAUGCAAGAGUCUUUCACUAAAAUAUUGUUCCUCUCCCUCUUUUGGCUGUUUUUAUGGUUUGGUUUUUUAUGUUUUAAUCACUUUUCAAAUAAGUUGUUUUCAAUAAUUUAUUUUCACAGUUAACCAAAUAAGUUGUGUUUAAAUACCAAUGCUCUGAUUUUAUGUAUAAGCCGAAUUUCACCAGUAGCUCUACUUUUGAUUCUUCCAUCUUCAUACGACAC